This is a small nucleolar RNA of Gadus morhua (Atlantic cod), 131 nucleotides long. The record is from Ensembl. Lineage: Eukaryota; Metazoa; Chordata; Actinopteri; Gadiformes; Gadidae.
CUGCACUGUCCAUUUAUACUGGUAUGCCACCUCCAUUGGCUGUCCAAUCAUCCUCAGUGCUAGAAGAACCUUGGUUUGCAGAAGGUCAUGGUCACAUAAUGGCUUAUCCCUUUCGAAGGCCAAGAACAAAU